RNAcentral lists this long non-coding RNA (248 nucleotides) under Hordeum vulgare. RNAcentral's name for it is "long non-coding RNA (HVUL_LNC012029)". Lineage: Eukaryota; Viridiplantae; Streptophyta; Magnoliopsida; Poales; Poaceae. The record is from RNAcentral.
GGAGCUGACACUGCGUUGAAACAUGGGGAGAUGAGGGAGGCACCAUGCAGGGCUGGAGCUUUUGCUCGUAGUCCCCACGCUCGAUGGAGAAACGGGAGGAAGAACAUGCUCCAGUACCCCUAUCCGGAUCCGAGGCGGAGCUGGAGGCCAACAACGGCAGCCAUGGCUGCGAGUCCUGGCGAAAAUAGAAAGCACACAGAUGAGAGAGGGAAAAGUGGAGAAGGAGGAGGAAUAAAAAAAGGAGGGUC